GAGAGUAAGGGCAAAUUUAGCAACCUGUAGCCUAAGGCACAAUGAAGGGAAGUCUGUGAAGCACUGAGGAAUUUUUAGUUGAUAGAUGAUUUCCAUACAGGAAUUCUGCAGCAGGGUCCCAGGUUUGAAAGAACUAUCUAAAGGAAUGCAUGAUAUAUGGCAGAUUGAGAAGACUUGAUAAGACAGGAAUUUGGACCUGCAAAACAUCAAGGGUUAAUUAUCAA
RNAcentral lists this long non-coding RNA (224 nucleotides) under Homo sapiens (human). RNAcentral describes it as "HSALNT0108619". Lineage: Eukaryota; Metazoa; Chordata; Mammalia; Primates; Hominidae. The record is from RNAcentral.